RNAcentral lists this ribosomal RNA (1259 nucleotides) under Salmonella enterica. RNAcentral's name for it is "partial 23S ribosomal RNA". It matches the Rfam family "Bacterial large subunit ribosomal RNA", at positions 322 to 1507 of the family's 2925-position model. The record is from RNAcentral. Lineage: Bacteria; Pseudomonadati; Pseudomonadota; Gammaproteobacteria; Enterobacterales; Enterobacteriaceae.
AUGUGUGUUAGUGGAAGCGUCUGGAAAGGCGCGCGAUACAGGGUGACAGCCCCGUACACAAAAGCGCAUAUGCUGUGAGCUCGAUGAGUAGGGCGGGACACGUGGUAUCCUGUCUGAAUAUGGGGGGACCAUCCUCCAAGGCUAAAUACUCCUGACUGACCGAUAGUGAACCAGUACCGUGAGGGAAAGGCGAAAAGAACCCCGGCGAGGGGAGUGAAAAAGAACCUGAAACCGUGUACGUACAAGCAGUGGGAGCACCCUUCGGGGUGUGACUGCGUACCUUUUGUAUAAUGGGUCAGCGACUUAUAUUCUGUAGCAAGGUUAACCGUAUAGGGGAGCCGGAGGGAAACCGAGUCUUAACCGGGCGUUAAGUUGCAGGGUAUAGACCCGAAACCCGGUGAUCUAGCCAUGGGCAGGUUGAAGGUUGGGUAACACUAACUGGAGGACCGAACCGACUAAUGUUGAAAAAUUAGCGGAUGACCUGUGGCUGGGGGUGAAAGGCCAAUCAAACCGGGAGAUAGCUGGUUCUCCCCGAAAGCUAUUUAGGUAGCGCCUCGUGAACUCAUCUCCGGGGGUAGAGCACUGUUUCGGCUAGGGGGCCAUCCCGGCUUACCAACCCGAUGCAAACUGCGAAUACCGGAGAAUGUUAUCACGGGAGACACACGGCGGGUGCUAACGUCCGUCGUGAAGAGGGAAACAACCCAGACCGCCAGCUAAGGUCCCAAAGUCAUGGUUAAGUGGGAAACGAUGUGGGAAGGCCCAGACAGCCAGGAUGUUGGCUUAGAAGCAGCCAUCAUUUAAAGAAAGCGUAAUAGCUCACUGGUCGAGUCGGCCUGCGCGGAAGAUGUAACGGGGCUAAACCAUGCACCGAAGCUGCGGCAGCGAACGUAUCACUUAAAGCGAUUCAGCGGGUUACGAUUGACGGAGCGAAGCGACGUCAAAGCGUAUACAAAGUCGAGUCGGUUUAAGGAUACGUUCGUUGGGUAGGGGAGCGUUCUGUAAGCCUGUGAAGGUGUGUCGUGAGGCAUGCUGGAGGUAUCAGAAGUGCGAAUGCUGACAUAAGUAACGAUAAAGCGGGUGAAAAGCCCGCUCGCCGGAAGACCAAGGGUUCCUGUCCAACGUUAAUCGGGGCAGGGUGAGUCGACCCCUAAGGCGAGGCCGAAAGGCGUAGUCGAUGGGAAACGGGUUAAUAUUCCCGUACUUGGUGUUACUGCGAAGGGGGGACGGAGAAGGCUAUGUUGGCCGGGCGACGGUUGUCC